Molecule: long non-coding RNA, 352 nt
Organism: Lycium ferocissimum
Lineage: Eukaryota; Viridiplantae; Streptophyta; Magnoliopsida; Solanales; Solanaceae
Exons: 2
Source: RefSeq, a predicted model, not a curated record
GUCUCUUACAAAUUCAGAUAAAAAAUCUCUCUGUUACAGAUUUCUUCUAAGUUAUUUUCUAAUUUAACAGAAGAUAAGCAUGAUGUUGUUUGGUUCUGGCUAGAGAAGAGCAAGCCACAUGAAUGCCCAGUAUGCACACAGUAUUUUGUGGUCAUAAUUAUGUUCCAACUGUCAGAAUCCAAAUUCCAAUCCAAUCUCAUACAAAUGUUGGAGCACCUACCAAGCUACCUAUGUAAUUUUGUUCCACAAACUGUCUUUGUUUUUCAUUUCUUGCAAACUACUCCUGUAACUUUGUUCCACAAAUGAAUGUAAUAUACUAUUACGCAUGUCAUGUUAAUAUUUAGUUUAAUCA